AGUAUAAUUAUGUGUUGAUGAAUAUAGUUAUAUGUUUCAGAAUCUUUGUAUAAUUAUAUGAUGAGUUAAAAUUACAUGUUGUUGAUGUGAUAUGUGAUGUGGUUUUAUAAUGUGUUGCGAAUAUAAUUAUAUGUGUUUGUGUUCAAGUGAGUAGUUCCGAAGUGGGGACUACUGUCAUACCCCAAUUUUGUCCGGACAUUUCAA
This 204-nucleotide long non-coding RNA is filed under the name Lathyrus oleraceus (garden pea). Its description in RNAcentral is "Pisum sativum (pea) long non-coding RNA (PSAT_LNC040688)". The record is from RNAcentral. Lineage: Eukaryota; Viridiplantae; Streptophyta; Magnoliopsida; Fabales; Fabaceae.